This is a long non-coding RNA of Oncorhynchus tshawytscha (Chinook salmon), 2102 nucleotides long. NCBI's taxonomy places the organism in Eukaryota, Metazoa, Chordata, Actinopteri, Salmoniformes, Salmonidae. The record is from Ensembl.
GAUGUCCCUCCCAGUUGACUACUUAAAAAUGGUGAAAGUCCUCAAUAGCGCUUGGGGGACUAGAGUCCUCUAUCUAUCUCUAUGGAUAGGGGGACAGGGAGACUGGAUAGGCAGUUGGUUUUGGGGAUUCGCACUGUUGACCCGACGUCACAAUCGGUGGGGGUUAUAAAAAUCCCCUGAAUUUAUACUGCAGUCAUUCGCAGUGAGAAAAGCCGUAGACAAAGCAGUCACACCGUAGAUAAUUGGAACAGAGACAGCCAACAAAAUGACGACCGUUUACAUUGGAUUCCUUCUCCUUGCCAUGCUUUUUUCAUCACAGGUCCAUGCGCAGAACACUACCACACAGUCCCUUCCUACGAAUGUGACCAAAGCUGACUUCACGAAUUCCUCGAUGCUCAACGUCAGUACCACGAACGUCAGUACCACGAACGUCAGUACCACGAACGUCAGUACCACGAACGUCAGUACCACGAACGUCAGUACCACGAACGUCAGUACCACGAACGUCAGUACCACGAAUGUCUCCAUUCCUCAAGGAGCCAGUGUGACCUUGCAGUCCAGUGCAUUCACGCUCCUCAUCCCUGUGGUGGGCUCGCUCCUACAGGGCUGCUUCUAGAGGGUUCAUCUGCACUGAACAAAAGCCAAGACUAACAUCGGCAGCCUAGAUGUGCAAAUGUUUUACAAAGAGCACAUUAAUUCUCGGAAGGUAGACAUUUGCGCACCUAAGCUGCGGGAUUCGGCGGCAUGGGCAAAAACACUACUUUGUGCUCGCACCUCCUGGCUGCUUCAAACCGUAGGCCUACACUCUGCUCACUGGCCCCAAGGCCAUGGCCUGGCAACAAGCUGUCUCACUGCAGAAUGGGACAUUUGUCCAUAUACCUUUUUGAGGUUUAGGCAUUAAUUCACAAAUGGGUAAGGUUUGGGAUAGGGUCAAGUCAUUUAAAGUGCCUAGCACUGGGAUUGAACACAUGACUAAUUAAUGGUAAUAGUGCUCACCGUUGCCCCUAGUGGCCAAUUUUGAAGUAAUCUCCUGACAUCCUGCUUACCUGGAAAGAUGUCUAAUUUUGCAGUGGUUCUUUAGUGACCUGGCUGUUGCCUCCAUGGAGGCAGGCCAUGAGGCUCUAUUAAACUCUAUUCUUUGACUCAAUAUUGUGUAAUUGCAGACUGCAAUUCAUGGGGUUUCUGGAUAUCAGGAGAAGCACAUUGGUGCCUGGUUUUCCUGGUAAAACACCCUGAAUUUGUCAGUUCUGGUGUUGAGACCGUUUCUUGACAUUUGUUUACAAGGCAGGUAAGGAUAGUUAACGUGGUCGGUAAGGAUAGUUAACGUGGUCGGUUAGGUGACUUUGUGUGCCAGGUUAGGAGAAUGAGGUAAAGUGUUAGCUUUAGAUACUGUUGUCCCCAACGUGAACUACAUGGCCACGGACCAGUGGUGCGCGUCAAAGUGCGUUUCUUAAUCAAGUUACGCCCCUACUCCUUUGCUUCACUUGGUCCCACUGUUCCUGAUUUCAGACAGCAGAGUUUAUCUUGUGUACAUUUUGGCUGUGCCUGGGGAAAUCAGCAACUGUUUGAGGUGCAUUGGAAAAUAACAGCCUAUAUUUGUCUGAUCUGUGGCACUUAUGUCCUUAACAGUGCUAUUCUUAAUCCUGCAACUGCAAUGGAUACUUUGUCAGAGGCUUGAUGUAGCCUACACUUGUGAUGAACUUAUUGCAUUUUAUAUUGUAAACAUGUGACUUAUGUAAGUCAGUGAUGCUUUUAGAUCUCUUUAUGUCAGGUUCAAUAAAGCUUUGAAAUGUGUUUGUCAUGAUUAAUAUUUAAUGUCCUUGUACAAUAAAAUAUGACAUUUAAUAUAACUAACUUAUCCUGUCAAUUCCAAAGCUUGGCAUUCAUUGGCUUUUCUUGUCUGUCUUACAAAUCCAAUGCUGCAGGUCUUUCUCAAAUGACUGGUUAACAAUUGUGCCUUACAGAGUUUUCUAUUGCUGCUUAGCAAAGGGCAAUUUUUGCUAGAACUGUUGGGGGAAAAUCUGUUAAUGGGUCACCAUAGAAAUCCAUGCUGUCUUCAAAUGGCACUUACACCAACUUCUGUGGCAAGGCCUAACAUUAAG